AUUGAACGCUGGCGGCAUGCCUUACACAUGCAAGUCGAACGGCAGCACGGGAGCUUGCUCCUGGUGGCGAGUGGCGAACGGGUGAGUAAUACAUCGGAACGUACCCAGUAGUGGGGGAUAACGCACCGAAAGGUGCGCUAAUACCGCAUACGACCUACGGGUGAAAGCGGGGGACCGUAAGGCCUCGCGCCAUUGGAGCGGCCGAUGUCUGAUUAGCUAGUUGGCGGGGUAAAGGCCCACCAAGGCGACGAUCAGUAGCUGGUCUGAGAGGACGAUCAGCCACACUAGGACUGAGACACGGCCCAGACUCCUACGGGAGGCAGCAGUGGGGAAUUUUGGACAAUGGGGGCAACCCUGAUCCAGCAAUGCCGCGUGUGCGAAGAAGGCCUUCGGGUUGUAAAGCACUUUUGUCAGGGAAGAAAUCUUUCAGGCUAAUACCCUUGGAAGGAUGACGGUACCUGAAGAAUAAGCACCGGCUAACUACGUGCCAGCCGCCGCCGUAA
RNAcentral lists this ribosomal RNA (503 nucleotides) under uncultured bacterium. RNAcentral describes it as "partial 16S ribosomal RNA". It matches the Rfam family "Bacterial small subunit ribosomal RNA", at positions 30 to 523 of the family's 1533-position model. The record is from RNAcentral.